Molecule: ribosomal RNA, 401 nt
Filed under: uncultured organism
Description: bacterial SSU rRNA
Rfam family: Bacterial small subunit ribosomal RNA
Source: RNAcentral
UGCCUAACACAUGCAAGUCGCACGCAGUUAAGGGGGCAACUCCUUGAUUGAGUGGCGCACGGGUGAGUAACACGUAGGUAACCUACCCUUCACUGGGGAAUAACCUGUCGAAAGACGGGCUAAUUCCGCAUACGUCCAAGACUGCUCCGGCAGAUUUGGGGAAAGGCGGCCCGCAAGGGCUGUCGGUGAUGGAUGGGCCUGCGUACCAUUAGCUAGUUGGUAGGGUAAUGGCCUACCAAGGCGACGAUGGUUAGCUGGUCUGAGAGGAUGAUCAGCCACACUGGAACUGACACACGGUCCAGACUCCUACGGGAGGCAGCAGUGGGGAAUAUUGCGCAAUGGGCGAAAGCCUGACGCAGCAACGCCGCGUGAGGGAUGAAGGUUCUCGGAUUGUAAACCUC